AAAGUCGUUAUUAUGGGCGGGACCAAAUUAACAUAAAUAAACUUCCUGUAGUCCCUCGAACGUGAUGAAAAAUGUUUACAGUAGAAAAAAUAGUUUGCAUCUGUCGUUUCAUGGACAUUUACACCAAAAGAUGUACAAGAUAUUUUGUGUUUUAAUAGUACUUCUCUCUGAAGACAAUAGUUGGUUAUGGCUGUGGAUAAUAAUCAGGAUACCAAAGUUAAAGAAAGGAGAUAUGUUUCUUUGUGGUGAAAGUGCAAGAAAUAACACCAUAUUCUGACUUACAAAAUGAUCACUCAUACUGCAUGCAAUACAGGGAAAGGCAUCAAACCAAGCCUCUAGAAGACAUACAUUUGUAGAAUGUAUUUUCUAUGAUGUACACGUCGCAGAGGAUACUUUAUGUUCCAAAAAAUCAAAUACAAAUUGUGUCCGGUACGUCUAAACACUGCUAAGGAGUCCUUAGUGCACUAAGGACGUAUACUAUGCCACUAAGGACAAGAUGGGGUGCUGUUACAUGUAUUAUUUUUCCAUAUUAAGUUAGAGAUUGAUAUUUAAUGCAUAAAUUUAAAAUUUUAUAGAAAAAUAAUCACAAAUAAACGAGUUAUUAAGCAUUGUUUAAGCACGUGCCCAUUUUUCUUUGAUAUGCCGAAAAUCAGUGAACCGAUUGACACGUGCCAUAUAACAUAACAACUGAAUAAACAAUCAUAAUCUUUUUAUUUUAAGUAAUUAACAAAUGUAUCGAAAAGAUUAAUGCUUAAUAAUUUAUAAUUAAAUAUGUUGUUCUUAUUUGCAAUGAUUAAAAGGACAAAUAAUUUU
Molecule: long non-coding RNA, 813 nt
Organism: Mytilus californianus (California mussel)
Lineage: Eukaryota; Metazoa; Mollusca; Bivalvia; Mytilida; Mytilidae
Exons: 3
Source: RefSeq, a predicted model, not a curated record